Molecule: ribosomal RNA, 275 nt
Filed under: uncultured bacterium
Lineage: Bacteria
Description: partial 16S ribosomal RNA
Rfam family: Bacterial small subunit ribosomal RNA
Source: RNAcentral
GCGUGAGUGAUGAAGGUCUUCGGAUUGUAAAGCUCUUUUGGCAGGGACGAUGAUGACGGUACCUGCAGAAUAAGCUCCGGCUAACUUCGUGCCAGCAGCCGCGGUAAUACGAAGGGAGCAAGCGUUGUUCGGAUUUACUGGGCGUAAAGGGUGCGUAGGCGGUUUGGUAAGUUGGAUGUGAAAUCCCUGGGCUUAACCCGGGAACUGCAUUCAAAACUCCCAGACUUGAGUAUGGAAGAGGUUGGUGGAAUUCCAAGUGUAGAGGUGAAAUUCGU